Molecule: unclassified non-coding RNA, 221 nt
Filed under: uncultured Tomentella
Lineage: Eukaryota; Fungi; Basidiomycota; Agaricomycetes; Thelephorales; Thelephoraceae
Description: sequence contains ITS2
Source: RNAcentral
ACAUCUCAACUCCUCACGGUUUGCCCGUGAUGAGCUUGGACUUUGGGGGCCUUGCUGGCCUGAGGGUCAGCUCCUCUCAAAUUAAUCAGCUUGCCAGUGUUUGGUGGCAUCGCAGGUGUGAUAACUAUCUACGCUUGUGGUUUUCCACCAGGUAACCUCCAGCAACGGGGGUUCACUGGAGCUCACAAAUGUCUCUCCUCAGUGAGGACAGCUCUUUGAAC